This is a long non-coding RNA of Ornithorhynchus anatinus (platypus), 800 nucleotides long. RefSeq lists it as uncharacterized. The transcript has 3 exons. The record is from RefSeq and is a predicted model, not a curated record. Lineage: Eukaryota; Metazoa; Chordata; Mammalia; Monotremata; Ornithorhynchidae.
GUUGGGGAGAGGGAAAAUAAGAAGAGUAAGAGGAAACAGAGGUGCAUAUUUGUGGACUCAUCUCCCACUCUGUUGCUGGCCUAUUUCUCUCAUGUCUGAUCCAAAGGAGAGGCUUAUUCUUUUCCAUAGAAAUGAUAUCAUCUUACAUCUUCUGGAUGUGUGUAAGAAAAAAGUAAACGAGGAUGAAUUCUAAAGUAAAGACCAGAGAAGAAAAGAAAAAAGAAACAACCACAACAAAAAAGAGACAGGGAACUUCAAUGCCUCUGUGGAUGCAAAGCCCAGAAGAACAGUUAUUAAAAAAUAAAAACAUCCGAAUUGCAUCGGAGCCCAAUGGACAUGUCGCUGCUGAAACCUUCUAAGUAUAAAAAGUUGCUUGGAGACAGCUGGAGCACCUGUGCUGCAGAGACCUUUCUGGAUUUUAAGUUUGAGAAAUCAGAAAAAAAAAACCUACCAGAGAUCAUGCAUGUCUUAAACUUAAAGAGGGAGGAUUUUUAGGCGGCAUAUUUUGACAAAUAGUAACAGGAAAAUGCAAAUAUACAUCUCUGUGAGAGUUAACUCCUUUUGAUUUUGCAGCCAACAAUGGAUUCUAAGAUGGACAAAAAACAGUUGGUUAUUUCAGAGGACUCACAGAAGCUGAACUUAUACAUUAUAGAUUUUCGAAAGUGACAUUCUAAGCAAGUUUUCCAAAUGGCUGCCUUCCUUUCCGUGGAGGAUGUUCCCUUUGAAAAUGUACUGAGGCAUUAUGUCAUGAGACUAUUUCUAGGUGAAUAAUAAAAUAGUAACGAUAAGUUCAAAUUUCA